This 371-nucleotide ribosomal RNA is filed under the name uncultured Providencia sp. Its description in RNAcentral is "bacterial SSU rRNA". It matches the Rfam family "Bacterial small subunit ribosomal RNA", at positions 1132 to 1502 of the family's 1533-position model. The record is from RNAcentral. Lineage: Bacteria; Pseudomonadati; Pseudomonadota; Gammaproteobacteria; Enterobacterales; Morganellaceae.
GGGAAACUCAAAGGAGACUGCCGGUGAUAAACCGGAGGAAGGUGGGGAUGACGUCAAGUCAUCAUGGCCCUUACGAGUAGGGCUACACACGUGCUACAAUGGCGUAUACAAAGAGAAGCGACCUCGCGAGAGCAAGCGGAACUCAUAAAGUACGUCGUAGUCCGGAUUGGAGUCUGCAACUCGACUCCAUGAAGUCGGAAUCGCUAGUAAUCGUAGAUCAGAAUGCUACGGUGAAUACGUUCCCGGGCCUUGUACACACCGCCCGUCACACCAUGGGAGUGGGUUGCAAAAGAAGUAGGUAGCUUAACCUUCGGGAGGGCGCUUACCACUUUGUGAUUCAUGACUGGGGUGAAGUCGUAACAAGGUAACCA